AGGAAGCACAAAGUUAUAUCAAGAUUUGUGUCAACACUUUAAUUUGGUGGUCAAACAUGAAAAGAGAGGUUGCGGAAUGCAUCAACAGAUGUCUAACUUGUCAUAGAGUCAAGGCAGAGCAUCAACAACCGAGUGGAUUACUAAAGCCGUCAGAAAUUCCAGAAUGGAAAUGAGAGCACAUCACGAUGGAUUUUGUAGCAUCCCCGAAUCCGGGUCCUAAAUCGCCGCGAAUCCGGUAUACUAAUUCUAUCACUAUUGCGGAAGAUAUAAACAUAAAUUAUUUAUACAUUAAACUUUACACACUAUUUCCCCAAAAGCGAGUAACCUUAACUAAUACAUAAUCAUAAACUAUCUAACACAUGACAAUACUAUUCUUCAACCAUACUUUUACAAAUUAGCUGCACAUUCUAUCCCAAGCUGAACUUGGCAUUUUCCUUUUCCUGUAACUGGCCGUAUUCGCCUUAUCUGCAAUGUUUUAUCAUGAUAUAGCAAGGGUGAGCAUGAAAGUUGCCCAGCAAGUUUAAAAAAAACAAGGUAAAGAUAUAUCAUGAUUGAAAGAGUUUGAAUAAUAAGCUGGCUAUCCUUCACAAUGUAGUUGUGAAUUAGCAUGAACAAAAUUUCAAAGCUGAAUGAACAUUGAAAAUGAACAUAACAAUUAUAUCUGAACUGACUGGUAAUGAAGGUGAUCAGCCUUUCAUACCUGAUGAAUACAUGCAAUAUGUACAGAGUACAAUUCAUAAGCAUAUCUGUCUGAAACCACUCUUAAAAGAGUUUAAGUAAAAAGAACUUGAAAAAAAACUUGCCUGAACCGUUGAUUACCGUAACACAAUAUAAUAAGCUUUUCCCGAAGACCUAAUAUUAAUAAUAUAGAUCUCCAGUAUUAGAAUAAUAUCAUCACAGUUAUAAAAUAACUUAAACAUAUUACCACAUAAUCUUAUCAGUCUCUUAUACACAUAAGACAUAGCUUCAAGUCAAACUAUUUCAGUCCGAGUUGAAAUCGGUACAAUUCUAUCAUCCCGACGGUCUAGUCGGACAAUUUAAGGAGUCUAAGUUUAAUUAAACUCUGCCUAAACACUUGACGAUAUCACAGAUAAUUUUCUUAUCAGUCUAAAUGAUUUUCAUAAGCUCGAAAUAUUUUUCAGAUAAUUAAUAUCAUUUAUCUAAAUUUUCCGAUCAUUAAUAACGUAUUUAAAUGAAUUAAAUACCACAUAAUUCUUUAAUCAUUAAUAUCUAUUUAAUAUCAAAUAUUAAUGAAAAUCAUUACAUAAUAUUAUAAUAUAAUGUAUAAUAUAUCACGGUAUUUUUAAUACCUUAAAAUCACAUUUAUAUGAUUUUUAAACACUUAAAAUCAUUAUCCGAUAAUUGAUAUUAAUAAUAAAAUAUUAAUAUUUUCAUGACAAAAUAUCAAAAGUUAUAGUUUAUAACUUAGAAUAUUUUUAUAACACAUAAAUCAUUUUUAUAUGAUUUUUAAAGCAUUAAUUCUAUUUUUCAAAAAUCAGAAUUAGUGCGUGACUUAAGAAAAUUAGCUACCUCGUGCUUAACUCCAGAGAUGCCCAUCUUUUGACAUAACCUUAUAUAUGUUAACGUGAUGCUCCAUUUUAAAUUUCGUGGCAAUCAGAGUUGUAGAACUCCGGUUAUAGCGAUUUCCGUCGGAAAAUCACAAAAAUUGAAAUGGUCAUAACUUGGUCGUUUUAAGCCGGAAUUAGCUCAUUUUUGGACACGAGGUACUUAAUACCAUAUAUUUUCAUUUCCCAAAAGGCCAGAAUUUAUUUCACAAUUUAAGUUUCCAAAACAGCCCCUACCAUUUCUUGGACAGCAACUUUUUGUCAUAAAACAGUUUAAGAGUCCUUUGCUAAAACUUAUAUAAAACGAGAUCUGUAACUCCGAUUAACGAUCCGUCAAUUUUGUUGGAUUCGUAACUUUCCGAACUACAGUUUUCAUCUAUCACAAUCCAUAUUUGGACAUGUUAAGCUCUCGGAAUUUAGCCCGGAAGUGGCUGCUAAAAACUGUUGCUCUAACAGUUUUUCUUACCUUUGAGUAGUUUGGGAGAAAUUUCAUAACUCUCUCCUCCGAUGUCGGAUUUAGUCCGUUUUGGAGUCUAUGGAAAGCUUAUUGAGUGUACUAUAACAUACCAAAAGCCCAGAAUUUUUAGAGCAGGCUAGCUAACCCCGAAAUUUCCUUUUUGUGGCAGCAACGUUUUGGCCAAAAAAAACAGUUUUGGGGUCCUUCACCGUAAAAUCCAUAUCUCUCAAACCGUAUGGCCAAAAAUUCUCAAAUUUUUACACAACCUGCAUAUCUACUGAUAUUAACACCCCAAAUUUUUCCAGAAUUUAUAAAGCACAAAAAGGGGACGAAAAUGCCCCUGCUACGGACUGAUCCAAAACAGUUCCUAGAAACGGGACUGUUUUCACAUAAAUCAACACCACGACUUUUAGAAACGUGAUUUUUGAGUUCUACCACUUAGGUUAACUACUAAACACAUAUAUCUAAGGUUUUUGAGUGUAGAACUAUGGAUUCAAGGUUUGAUUUACAACCAUCAAAAAUUACAUAAACAAAAAGGGUUUAUACCUUUGCUUGAUUUUCUUUCUUCUUCAAAGAUAUGAGAUGGAUCUUGAGGUGUAUGAAGAUCAAAGUCUUUUCUUCUCCUUCUCCUCUUGGAGCUGCCGAAUGGUAUCUCUUCUCACUCUCUCAUAAUGCCAUUCCUCCCUUCUCUCUUUCUCUCUUUCUCCCUCUCUAAGUCUUGGACAAGUUUGAUAAUUAAAGUGAGGCUUUUCUCACUUUUAAUCUAUAUAAGUUAUAAUUCAAGGAAUCUAGUAAAUUCUAGAUGAUUGAUAAUUGAGCUAUAAGUCACAUGCUAGGUUAUAAUUAUUCCCCCUUCAAUAAUUUGCUAGAUUUUGCAAGAUUACAUAGGAUUCUCUAGCCAUAAUUCACCAAAAUGGGACAAAAGGGUAAAAUGGACAUUUCCAUAUCAAUAAUUGAUUUUUUUUAUUUCUUAUUUAGUAUACCAAAUGUCUAAUAUGUCCCUCCUUAAUUGGGCUUAAAUUUGGGCCACCAUUUCCAUCUUUUGGCUAUCAAUAAAUAAUAUAUUGGACUUAAAAU
RNAcentral lists this long non-coding RNA (3099 nucleotides) under Panax ginseng (ginseng). RNAcentral's name for it is "long non-coding RNA (PGIN_LNC011080)". The record is from RNAcentral. Lineage: Eukaryota; Viridiplantae; Streptophyta; Magnoliopsida; Apiales; Araliaceae.